UCAAUUUCUCAAAACUUGUCAUCCUAACCCAUCUUAUUAGAGCUCUAUUUUCUGUAUAUAAUUAAUGUCACAUUGCUCUCUUAAUAAAUGGUCUCAUACCCUUUCUUCUGCACAGAUGAACCUCGUCCGACCAGCCUACAACAGGUGGCGACAAAAUCAACUCGGGGAAUUUUAAAAAUCCACAAUAAAUGAUUUUGUAAUGAUUUAACAGAAAUUGCCAGAGCUCAACAUGUCCAAUGAUUUCCCAUAGAAAAACACGCCAAACCCACCAAGCCAUUUGAAUUCAUUCGUUCAGAGAUACAACCACGGAGAGAGAGAGAGAGAGAGAGAGAGAGAGAAAAAGAAAUCCAAAGUUCAGAUCGGAAAAGAAAGCAGUGACCUCGUUCCGAGUCUACUCUGGUGAGUUUUCGGACCACUGAGGCACCACCGCCAUAGAUGGGCUACCCAUUUCAGAAUGAGAUUUCUCGCAAGAACGAGAUGGCGUGGCGAGUGGCUUUGAGCUGAAAGACCAAUUCUCAAGGUUGGAAUCAUUCCUGAGUUUGGAGCCUGAGCUGCCGAGUUUGCUGAGCGGAAACGGUGAGCUCGACUUUGUGGACCUUUGGCUGCUAGACGCCUUGGAUUUUGCUUGGAAGGCCCCUGUUAUACAAAUCCACCUGUUGCCCACCAUCAAAAGUUCCGAUCUUCCAAUGCUUAUGAGUUUUCGCUUCCCGGGUCUGUUCCCGACUGGUUCGGCCAAAGCCUUGGCUCGAUCUCGGUCCUGCUCGGCUGGUCCGAUUGUUUCGUCGAUCGACCUUUCUUUUGCACAGAAGAACCUCGUCCGACCAAUCUACAACAGGUGGCGACAAAAUCAACAGGAAUUUUAAAUCCACCAUAAAUGAUUUUGAAAUGAUUUCACAUAGACAUUGCCAUUUGCCGGAGCUCAACAUGUCCCCAAUGAUUUCCCCCAGAAACAGACGCCAAACCCACCGAGCCAUUUGAAUUCAUUCGUUCAGAGAUACAACCACGGAGAAAAAGAGAGAGAGACAGCAACAUAAAGAAAUCCAAAGUUCAGAUCGGAAAAGAAAGCAGUGGCCUCGUUCCCGAGUCUACUCGGGCGAGUUUUCGGACCACUAAGGCACCACCGCCAUAGAUGGGCUACCCAUUUGCGAAUGAGAUUUGUCGCAAGAACGAGGCGGCGUGGUUAGUUGCUUUGAGCUGAAAGAACAAUUCUCAAGGUUGGAAUCGUUCCUUCUGGGUUUGGAGCCUGAGCUGUCGAGUUUGCUGAGCGGAAGCGGAGAGCUUGACUUUGUGGACCUUUGCUUGCCAGACGCCUUGGAUUUUGCUUGGAUGGCCUCUGUUCUACAAAUCCACCUGUUGCCCACCAUCAGAAGUUCCGAUCUUCCAAUUCCUCUAGGUUUUCGCUUCCCGGGUCGAUCUAUUCCCGAUUGCUUCCGCCAAAGCCUUAGCUCGAUCUCGGUCCGAUUUUUUCGUCGUCCGGUAAGUUGCGUACACUGAAUUAUGCGUAUUUGCCUGAUAAUAGUCUUACUGGUACUCCAUGUCCUGCAUUAAGUAUGCGUAUUUGUCUGAAAAUAGUCUUUCUUAUAAUAGUUCCACUUCUUCCAAAUACAUGGUUAAUCGGAUGGUCUUUUUCGAUUGGUAGAACUCGAUCUUAGCAAGAAUUGUUGAUACGGGUCAUUGCCUGUGGGGUGGAGAGGGUUGAGGAGUUUACGGAGGAUGGUAUAUUGGACACACUAUUGUGGAGGGUCCAUUGCCGGAUGGUUUGUUUA
Alnus glutinosa is the source of this 1766-nucleotide long non-coding RNA. RefSeq lists it as uncharacterized. Lineage: Eukaryota; Viridiplantae; Streptophyta; Magnoliopsida; Fagales; Betulaceae. The record is from RefSeq and is a predicted model, not a curated record. The transcript has 2 exons.